CUGGAGUUUACACAGCAAACCCCAGCGGGGCCUCCACACAGCUUAGACAAAGCGCGCCCUGCCCUCUCACUUCCCUCCCGGCUCCUCCCUGCUUCUCCCCAAAGACCCACAAUAAGAUAAUACAACAAUCCAGCCACGACUCGUGCCCAGCCCACGAGAGUGCAAAACAGGCCCUCGAGUUGUCACCACCAAAUGCCUGGCACAUAAAGAGAAGGGGUCUCCUCUUCGCCAGUGCUGCAGAGGCACCUUCCUGGCAUCUGUAAAGACUGUAUUUUCUUCUGUUGAAUUUUUUGCACACCUUUGACCAGCCUCUUCCUCUUCAAAGGAGCCAAAAGAUUUCUCAUCAUUUGAAGACAAAAAAUCGUGAUGGUAUUUCUGUGUGUCUUGCUCCCAGGGAAGGGUUUGGUGUGGGAGAUACCUGGCCUAUCGUCUGUUUUGGAACAAUUACUGUCCCGCUCGACUCCGACCCCCACCCACCCACUGUGAGGAUAGAAGGAAUGUGAGAAUUUAGUGUUUGUCACAGUCCAGACACAAGAUGCAGCCCUGCCCUGCGUUGUGAGACAUUUUUAUCCAGACUGUAUAUUAAUGCUGAAUUGCAUCUUUCUGUUAAAAUCCUCAGCAUAAAAGGCUGAAACGGAUAGACGGUAGGAGAAAACCUGCCAAGCCAAGACUGUUAACACUGUUUUAGGAAACUAGUCCUUCCAAACUACCUCUGUGUCGCUCUUCAGUGUUAUGGAUGAUGCCUUGUGACAGCGAGAGAGCCCACCCAAAUGGGGUGGUAGGACUUUUUGACAACCAACCCUUUCCUUCCUGUGUAAAAGCCUGGGAGAUACCCUUCACACCUGAGCCAUCGGACCCAGGAGAGCCUUCUGGUCACAGAUGCUCAGAAGCGGGUCUGGAUGUGCAAAAAAUUUUGGACACAUUCCUCGGUGUUUUCUCCGGACUAAGUGCUGGAAGACCAACCUUAGCAAGACGCACUCCAAACACAACCUGUAAUGAGACACAUAGCCCUCCUGUGCUUGUCCACCGACCCUGCCUCCCCUUAACUGUCAGUCAUGGAAAUGGUCGGUGCCAUUGCUCACCCGCCGGAGUGGGGGGGACUUAAGUGAUUCUGUGGGUGGGACUUAAGUGAUUCUGUGGUGUCCGCUUGCUUUCGACUAUUUCCUGAGCUGCUACAGGUCAGCCCUGGGGCAGAUCUAGAGGGAUCUAUUAGGUGCUCCGGGGCUGGGCCACUUUGAGGGGCUCCACUGGCAUCAAAGUGUCUGUCCCUGCUUGAGGAAGAGGCAAUGUGACUGUAUCUGGAGAUCAUCAACGUGGCUGGAAGUCAGACCACGCCUCGGUCAUCAAGCAGCUACUGCCUGCACUGUUUGAUGCUGGGGCCUGAUGAUGUCACAGGGUGGCCCCUACAGGUGCAGCCAGUAGGGAAGACAGAUGCAGCGCUCAGUCACACAGCUGAGCAGGAUCUGGACGGCUAUAUCCUGAAUCCAGACCCCCGGGAAAGCAUCAGAAAGGAGACGUGGAUGAGAGCGACAUUCUGCCCGUUGCCUAGCUCCAGGCAGGCAUCAGGGUCCCAGACUGCAAAGGGAAAACUAUUGCCCAGACCAGAGUGGUUUCCUGUCCCAGUCGUGCCUUCACCCUCCGCACUCUGACAGGCAGAGAGAAGUUCCUUCUAUGAGCUCCCCAUUUGCAAACAGCUCAGAUCCUGGCAACAUGGGGUUUGGCUUCAGUGCAGGGGUGAGUCACAUCUCUCUACUACUAGAGACAUCCAUGCCAUUCCAACAGUCACUGGAUCUUACAGUUAGGUGGUGGGAGUUAAUGCUUAGUUUCGAGGCUUUUUACCAUGGUAACUAACCCACCCAGCUAACAGGUACCAAUGAGGGGGAAAGUAUUAGAAGCAGCAGAGAAACAUAGUUUACAGUUGAUACAAAAUCAAAACAGAGAUAUUUUUACAAUGGCAAGAGCUGAGACACGGGGGGCUGUGCUUGUGUGAGGAUGAAUGGUUCCCUGGUAGGAAAGUCCAUGGCCAAUUACAAGGACAGUAAACAGAGCUCUGUGUAUGCAGUUAGGGGCAGGCAGGGGGAGGGCAGGGAUGAAACGGACCUGCAGACAGCACAGCGGGCAGAAUGAAAGCUCACUCUCCCAGGGUUAGUUCAGGAGGCUGAGCAUAAGAGUUCCCAGCAGGCUUUCUUGACCUCAGACCACUGACAUUGCGGGCUAAUUUUUAUUCUGGGGCUGUCUUGUGCAUUGUGGGAUUUUUAGCACCCUCCUCCCCUCAGCCGUGAUACCCAAAAGAUGUCUCCCAACAUUGCCAAAUAGUCCCUGGGGCACAAGAUAACCCAGUGGCUGAGGACCACUGGCUUAGGAGUCGAGCUCCAAGAAGAUGCUGUGGCCCUUGGAGCUCAGGGAGGCUCAGCAUCACAAAGAGGGCCCAUCUCAGGGCCACAAAUGAGGCCCUUCCCUCCCCAGGACCAAAAACCACAGCUGAGCAGGGGUUGCCCGCUCCACAGACUUUCAGCAUUGAUGACACUAGUGUAUCCUGGAGACAGAUGCCUAGUAGAGCCGGUAUCAGCAAAGAGAAGGGCACAGGCCAGGUUUUAAAGGUCUCACCAGAGCUGACCAGUAGAAAUACACCACAGAACUCUUGCUCACUAUGGGCUUCCAGGCAAGUAUCCUUUUGUGCAAGUUCCACUUCCUAGCCACGGGAAGCAGAAGAUUCUGGAAUGAACCCCAUAGGCUAUCCCUCCCUUGGGGGCAUUCGCCUGUGCUGUGCCCUCCACCCGGAACAACCAUCCCUCAUCCCCACCCACAAUUCUUCAGGAUCAGAUCCAAGAUUCCUCCUUCUAGAAGUGUGUUCUGACCCCCAAGCAGUCUGGGGGGGUCCUCUCUCAGCGCCAUAUUGUCAUGGGGUCUCCCUCCCCCAUGAGACUGUGAGCCCCUCAAGGACAGAGCUGGUAUCACUGGCCUCUGUCCCCUCCAAGACAACUCAGGGCCAAGUGCCACUAAAUGAACACAGCCCUGCCCAGCAGCUAUUCCUUCUGGGGCUCCAGGGGCCCAGGGCGGAAGCAUCUUC
Mustela erminea (ermine) is the source of this 3070-nucleotide long non-coding RNA. RefSeq lists it as uncharacterized. The record is from RefSeq and is a predicted model, not a curated record. NCBI's taxonomy places the organism in Eukaryota, Metazoa, Chordata, Mammalia, Carnivora, Mustelidae. The transcript has 4 exons.